AAGAAUUUAGUGGAAGCCUCAAAUCAGGCCAAACAACAUUCAAAUCUUCAAAUUUCGUCGAAUGCGUCCGAGUUAUACUUAAACAAUCCGAAAUGGUGUCAAAUUUUGCGCACAAGUCACAAACCACUACACGAACCUAUUCUAAGGCUUGAAACCCCAAACGAAUAUCGAUAACCUCAAAAUCCACUUCAAACCAAACUUAAGAAAUUGUUAAACUUUCAAAAUGGCAACUUUCCACAACAAGCGCCUAAAUCCUUCUGGACCACACGGAUACUAAACCCGAACAUACGCUCAAGUUCGAAAUCAUCACACAAACCUAUUGGACUCUUCAAAUCCUGAUUCCGAGGUCGUUUACUCAAAAGUCAAACCUUAGUGAAUUCUUCCAACUUAAAACUUUCGAAAUUAGAAUUUUCCAUCUGAAUCAACUAUGAACUUCCCGAAAUUCAACUCCGAUCAUGGUACAAGUCAUAAUACAUGAAGAGAUGCUACUCUAGGUGUCAAACCCCCAAGCAACGCGCUAAAGCUCAAAACGAUUGUCUGGUCAUUGCAUAUCAUGUGCUUAAGUUUGAUUGUCUUGAUAGGAUGCAUGAUUACAGAGAAUUGGACAUUCUGAAUUCUAUUUUUACUGCUUUACUUGUCUACUUUAAGAAAUAACUCCCCAUGAAUCAAGCAUGAAAUCUGUUCCAUGACUUAAAGAUCAUGAUUAUAGGAUUAACUAUUGGUAUUCCUUAUGAGCUUUGAACAUGAAUUGGAAAUAACCAUAAUCUUGAUUAAUGUACUUGUCAACACAUUUACAUCACUGUCUCAAUAUUACGUAAGUCUUGUUUGACUUACGAUUUCAUAACUUAAAUCCAUUGUGUGUAUAAAGUUAUACUUAUGUGAUGAGAGUCAUGUUAAGAGGAUGUUUUAUGGUAUAUGCCAUUGUGAUAAUGCUUUGAUUCAUUUACUUAGAUCCAUUGUGUAUAAAAAGUUAUACUUAUGUGAUGAGAGUAAAAAGUAAAAAGUCAAUUUGUAAAAAGUCAAUUUGUGUA
Molecule: long non-coding RNA, 1031 nt
Filed under: Nicotiana benthamiana
Lineage: Eukaryota; Viridiplantae; Streptophyta; Magnoliopsida; Solanales; Solanaceae
Description: long non-coding RNA (NBEN_LNC019845)
Source: RNAcentral